UUUUAUUAGAAGAACCAUAAAAAUCCAUUCAUUAGAGAGAAACCGAAGGAUAUUUUGGAGUCAUAUCUAAUUUUUAAGGAUUUAUUGGAAUCUGACUCUGAAGUAAUCGUUUCUAAAGACAAUGUUUUAUUUUUAAAGUAAAAAGGUUUAAAAGUUGAUACCUAAUGUAGAAACCUAUUGGGAAUAUCUUAAAAAAGUUAAGCUUCAUAUUCUUCAGAAUAUUCCUCAAUAAUAGUAUUAAGGGUUUAAGCUAGUCCAAGCAAAAAUCUACUAUUGACCUUUUUAUAUCAAUAGAUGAUUGAUUUUCAAGUUGAUUGUUUAUUUCAAAGUCUAAAAUUUAAAAAGUCAUUAAGAGCAGUCUCAAAAAAUAAAAAAAGGUUUAUAUUCUUUAAAAUAGUCGCCACCGAUGGUGUUUAGGCUCUUUUAUCGAAGUUUUUGUAAAUCAUUUCCAAGGCGAAAGACAGUUUUAGGUAAUUGGAGUCAUAACUCUACUUCUGGUGCUCAGAUCGUCUUCAUUUUUAUUUUAAAAGUUUCUUUGGAAUGUUCUUCAGCUUUCAUUGAAAGAAUCAUGAAAAUGGAUGUAUUAGAAACUUUUUUAUUCAAGUUUUUAUAGAUCCAGUCCAACAGGAAAGACGGUUUUAGGUAACUGGAGUCAUAACUCUAGUUCUGGUACUCAGAUCAUCUUCAUUUUUGUUUUAUAAGUUUCUUUGGACUAUUCUGCAUCUUUUAUUGAAAGAAUCAUGAAAAUCCAUGCAUUAGAAACUUUUUUAUUAAAGUUUUUGUACAUCAAGUCCAAACGGAAAGGAUAGUUUCAGGUAACUGCAGCCAUAACUCCACUUCUGGUACUCGGAACAUCUUCAUUUUUGUUUUUAAAGUGUCUUUGGAACGUUCUUCAGAUUUCAUUAAAAGAAUCAUGAAAAUUGAUGUAUUAGAAAUUUUUUUAUUCAAGUUUUUAUAGAUCCAGUCCAAGGGGAAAGAUGGUUUUAGGUAACCGGAGUCAUAACUCCACUUCUGGUGUUCAGAUCAUCUUCAUUUUUGUUUUACAAGUUUCUUUGGAAUAUUUGUCAGCUUUCACUGAAAGAAUCAUGAAAAUCCAUGCAUUAGAAUCUUUUUUAUUCGAGUUUUUAUAGAUCCAGUCCAAGGGGAAAGACGGUUUUAGGUAACUGUAGUCAUAACUCGACUUCUGGUACUCAGAUCGUCUUCAUUUUUGUUUUAAAAAUUUCUUUGGAAUGUUCUUCAGCUUUCAUUAAAAGAAUCAUGAAAAUCCAUGCAUUAGAAUCUUUUUUAUUCAAGUUUUUAUACAUCAGGUCCGAGGGGAAAGACCCAAAAGAAAAUUGAAAAAUUCGACUGUAGGUAUCUAAAUUGCUUCAAGUAUUUACAAUAAGGUUAAUUUCGCUUUAAAUGUCUGUUAAAAGGAUUUUAAAUAUUUAUAAGAUUUGAACCAUUAUUUUAACUGUGUUGAACGUAACUUCUAGUGCUUAAAAUGAAGUGAAACAAAAAUAUUUAAAAUAUAGACAUGACUUUAAAUACCUGGAAUUAACAAUGACCUUAAACAGUUUAGGAUAAAAGUCAGGAAAGACCUGAAAUAACUGACUAAAAGUUGAAAUUCAAUUGACUGAAAUAAAAUUAAAAAGUAGAUACUCUGUAUGGAAAUUAAAUGGCCUUCAGUUAUUUGAAAUAAGUGUAAUUUAAAAGACAGUUUCAGGUAACUGGAAUCAUAACUUCACUUCUGGUGCUCAGAUCGUCUUUAUUUUUGUUUUAUACGUUUCUUUGAUGUGUUCUUUAGCUUCUGUUGACAGAAUAAUGAAAAUUCAUGCAUUAGAAACUUUUUUAUCCAAAUUCUUAUACCUCACAUCCCAGAGAGGCAACCUGAGCAUAAAAUUAGAAAUUAGGCAUGACAAUUAUUAUGUUGUUAAACCUGAAACGUGUAUACACACUCUGGAAAACAUUAAACGAUUCUGGAAAUGAUAAUAUUACAUUUUCUGGAAAAUAGACAAAAUUGUUUGUAAUGCAUGCAUUGUAAGCACAUAAAAUUUUAUUCUCUGAAACUUAUACAUCAAAUGCCUGGAAUAAAAUAAAAACUUCCUUCUGAAUACUUGAAAUAAUAAUAAUACAGUAAAAUAAAGUGUAAAAUGUCUGAAUAAACAAAUGCCCCGCAAAAGAUUAACCUUGUCAGGGGUUUUUGAAUAUACAGAGUAAUAAUUUAAACAAAGUAGUUUUUUAAAAAUUUGUUACUAUCAAACAACUAAUAACGAUAAACAGUACUAGUGCAAAAAUAUAUUUAAAUAACAAUUUUUAUGCUAACGAUAUUUUACAAUAAGCAAUUGAUAAUCUUGGAAGUAUAACGGUCAAAGUUGGUAGGGACAUCUGUCUAAAUCAGGAAUAAAUUAGGGUUUAUUUAUACUACCGCUGGUAAUUUUUUUAUCGAAUUAAUUCAAAAAAAAACAGCAGGGAGUCCUUUAAUUAACUUUUGGACUCAGAUAUAAGUAGAAACGCUGUCCUAACGUGAUGUUUAUUUUUGGUAGGUAACCAGUUAGGUGUUUUGAGUAAGGGGGUAGUAAGUAUCUUUCUUCUUAAAUUGUCUUACUAUAUACAAAUUGGAAAAAUAGCUGCCUUAGGCAUGAAACGUUUUUCUAGAAAAGAGAAAUGGUAAAUGCCCGAAAAACAAAAUUGUUUUUAAUGCACGAACAGACUCAUAAGCAGACACCCGACCCGAAAAGACUUUUAUUCAAGUUUUUAUAGAUCCAGUCCAAGGGGAAAGACGGUUUUAGGUAACUGGAGUCAUAACUCCACUUCUACUACUCGGAUCGUCUUCAUUUUUGUUUUAAAAGCUUCCUUGCACUAUUCUUCUACUUUCAUUAAAACUCCAUACAAGGUUUAGACCUAAUUUGUGAACGAU
Long non-coding RNA from Anthonomus grandis grandis, 2899 nucleotides. RefSeq lists it as uncharacterized. The record is from RefSeq and is a predicted model, not a curated record. NCBI's taxonomy places the organism in Eukaryota, Metazoa, Arthropoda, Insecta, Coleoptera, Curculionidae. The transcript has 3 exons.